RNAcentral lists this transfer RNA (74 nucleotides) under Salipaludibacillus sp. LMS25. RNAcentral describes it as "tRNA-Gln". It matches the Rfam family "tRNA". From Rfam's summary of the family: Transfer RNA (tRNA) molecules are approximately 80 nucleotides in length. Their secondary structure includes four short double-helical elements and three loops (D, anti-codon, and T loops). Lineage: Bacteria; Bacillati; Bacillota; Bacilli; Caryophanales; Bacillaceae. The record is from RNAcentral.
AGGCCCAUAGCCAAGCGGUAAGGCAUCGGAUUUUGAUUCCGUGAUCGUAGGUUCGAAUCCUGCUGGGCCUGCCA